AGGACGAACGCUGGCGGCGUGCUUAACACAUGCAAGUCGAGCGGUAAGGCCUUUCGGGGUACACGAGCGGCGAACGGGUGAGUAACACGUGGGUGAUCUGCCCUGCACUUCGGGAUAAGCCUGGGAAACUGGGUCUAAUACCGGAUAUGACCUCCUAUCGCAUGGUGGGUGGUGGAAAGAUUUAUCGCCCAGGGAUGAGCCCGCGUAGGAUUAGCUAGUUGGUGAGGUAAAGGCUCACCAAGGCGACGAUCCUUAGCUGGUCUGAGAGGAUGAUCAGCCACACUGGGACUGAGACACGGCCCAGACUCCGUACGGGAGGCAGCAGUAGGGAAUAGUUGGACAAGUGGG
RNAcentral lists this ribosomal RNA (348 nucleotides) under uncultured soil bacterium. RNAcentral's name for it is "bacterial SSU rRNA". It matches the Rfam family "Bacterial small subunit ribosomal RNA", at positions 26 to 376 of the family's 1533-position model. The record is from RNAcentral.